This 47-nucleotide non-coding RNA is filed under the name Marmota monax (woodchuck). It matches the Rfam family "Histone 3' UTR stem-loop". From Rfam's summary of the family: The mRNAs of metazoan histone genes lack a poly-A tail. 3' end processing occurs at a site between a highly conserved stem-loop (modelled by this family) and a purine rich region around 20 nts downstream (the histone downstream element, or HDE). The stem-loop is bound by a 31 kDa stem-loop binding protein (SLBP - also termed the histone hairpin binding protein, or HBP). The record is from RNAcentral. Lineage: Eukaryota; Metazoa; Chordata; Mammalia; Rodentia; Sciuridae.
CCAAAGGCUCUUUUCAGAGCCACCCACCUUUUCCGUUGAAGAGCUGU